AUGCAUUAGUGGCCAUUUUGGUGUUCAUCUUGCCGAAUGUUGAAGAAAGAAUACCCAUGGAAGCAUUUUAGGUUUCGCUACAUUCAUAGCUAGAUUAAGAUCAAGAAAAGAGGAAAUCAGAAUUGGAUCGGGGGAAAUCAACAGUGAUCGAAUAGUCGUUCCAGUCUGUUUGUCUUCGUCUGAGGUAAGUUCAUAAGUAAAUAAUUGCCGGUAAUUUGAAUAUAUAUGUAUUAUAAAUGCUGAAUUAUUUUAUGCGUGGGAGAAUUGUUUAUGAGUUGAUACGAUUGAAUUAAAACAUCUAAUAGCCCCGUACGAACCAUAGGAUUUUGAUAUGUGAUUUUGUGUAAGACCACGUCUGGGACGUUGGCAUCGAUUUGAGAUUUACGUGAUAUAGAAUUGAUUUCUCUAUUUUAUUUAAAUACAAGUAUUGCAUAGAAUUGGGUAGAAAAGUAUAAACGAAAGCAAGACUCGAUUGAGAAGCUGUUAUUUCAUUUUAUCAAUUCAUGAUAGUUGAUAAAAUCAUAUAUACAAUUCGACUGUAAAGUCAUAUAAUUAUAAAUUGGAAGGAUAUAUUUCAUUACACAGAUAAAUAUAAUUCUAAUGAUUAAAAUUAAUUAAACUAAGUCUAUGUACUUUUUAUUAAUUUAUUUAAAUUUGAAAAUAAUUAAAAUUAAAAACUACCCAUAGUAAUUGUUAAGUUUUUAUCUCUACUAAAUUUUGGUUUAUUGAGUUAGAGUGACACUAUGACUCGCUCUCAUAUAUAUAGAUUAUAGAUGAUAGAUUAUAUAUAUUAUAUAUAACGCAUUUGAUUAAAUUGGUGUCACGAGUUAAUUAGACACUAAUUCGAAUCGUAAAAUAAUUAAAAUACCUUUACUUUAAAAAAUAACUAAUAUUAUUUUAAUAUUAAUAUAAAGGUAUUUUUAUCUUUUCAUACUUUUAUUUAAUAUUCAAAUAAAACAACUUAAAAAUAUUACUUAAGAAUCAAACACAAAACCAGUUGAAAUAUUUUUAUAAAUAUACUUUUAAUAUAAAAUAUUUCCGUUUGUGAUAAAGUCUAGUAGAUAUAGAGUUUCUCUAUUUUAUUUAAUGAAAUGAACUUUAUAGCUUUUAUUUCAUUUUGUUUGUUUUAUUUUUGUCAAUUCAUUUAAAUUUAUAAAAUUAAGAGUGAGUAAAACUUGAUUCGAUUCGAAAAGAUUGAAUUUUAAGUUAAUUGAAUCGAUUUAAAUUUUACAAUUUGAAUUUUAUAAAAAAUCACAAUUAAAAUUAUAUACAAGAAAGAAAUGGCGUUCAAUUAUAUAAAAAAUCACAAUUAAAAUCACAAUAAAAUGAUCACCCACAAGGCUGAAGCUCACGGGGUUUGGUAUCCCAUCAAGCUCUAAGAAGCCGAGCUGAGGUAGGUGGAUCACUUUCUCUUCGUCCUUACUCACAUUUCCCUCAUCUCCUUCAAACACCUGCGAGAGUAAUUGGGAACAAACAUUUCAAGUUUUCACACCUCUUGAUUGUAAUCUGCUUCAAAUUAGGGAAGCAAAUAGGAUGGAGAUGAUGUUGUGAUGGAGUUCGAUGCUUCUCAAUUAUUUGCUCCAAUUCCUCACAGUUAAAUAUACCCAACCUGGAUAACUGUAGCAAAUUUCGAGCGAUAGUAGGUGAGAAGAUGUAUCUUAACCUUCUGUAAUCUUGAACCGUCAAUUGACAGAGAUUUUGAAAGUAUUCAACUUGGAUGGGAG
RNAcentral lists this long non-coding RNA (1724 nucleotides) under Gossypium barbadense (sea-island cotton). RNAcentral's name for it is "long non-coding RNA (GBAR_LNC016657)". The record is from RNAcentral. Lineage: Eukaryota; Viridiplantae; Streptophyta; Magnoliopsida; Malvales; Malvaceae.